CUGUGACGCGUUAGAUCGUCGUCGGUUAUUGUAUCAGGUUGAAAAGACUACACUGGCAGCGUCGCCUGUGAAAACCGGAACUUGUCAUUCUUGUCUGCUCGCCGCAUGGCGGAAGCUCAAAAUACGAGUAGACGGCUGAUGUACAUCGUGCCGAGAAUUUUGCAGUCUUCGAGACGCGUAAAGUUUACAGGCAAACUGCAAGACCGGAACAAUAGAGGAACAAUUUGCUUUCCGAAACAAUUAACUCUCAACAAUUAUUCAUUAUAUUCUAAGAGCGAGGUUACGUCUUUCAAUGUGCA
This 299-nucleotide unclassified non-coding RNA is filed under the name Bombus terrestris (buff-tailed bumblebee). Its description in RNAcentral is "misc RNA ENSBTSG00005025516.1". Lineage: Eukaryota; Metazoa; Arthropoda; Insecta; Hymenoptera; Apidae. The record is from RNAcentral.